AGUGAACGCUGGCGGUAGACCUAACACAUGCAAGUCGAACGGCAGCACAGUAAGAGCUUGCUCUUACGGGUGGCGAGUGGCGGACGGGUGAGGAAUACAUCGGAAUCUACUUUUUCGUGGGGGAUAACGUAGGGAAACUUACGCUAAUACCGCAUACGACCUACGGGUGAAAGCAGGGGAUCUUCGGACCUUGCGCGAUUGAAUGAGCCGAUGUCGGAUUAGCUAGUUGGCGGGGUAAAGGCCCACCAAGGCGACGAUCCGUAGCUGGUCUGAGAGGAUGAUCAGCCACACUGGAACUGAGACACGGUCCAGACUCCUACGGGAGGCAGCAGUGGGGAAUAUUGGGCAGUGGGCGCAAGCCUGAUCCAGCCAUACCGCGUGGGUGAAGAAGGCCUUCGGGUUGUAAAGCCCUUUUGUUGGGAAAGAAAAGCAGCAGGUUAAUACCCCGCUGUUCUGACGGUACCCAAAGAAUAAGCACCGGCUAACUUCGU
This 491-nucleotide ribosomal RNA is filed under the name uncultured bacterium. RNAcentral's name for it is "partial 16S ribosomal RNA". It matches the Rfam family "Bacterial small subunit ribosomal RNA", at positions 29 to 506 of the family's 1533-position model. The record is from RNAcentral.